AUACGGAGGAUCCGAGCGUUAUCCGGAUUUAUUGGGUUUAAAGGGAGCGUAGGCGGACGCUUAAGUCAGUUGUGAAAGUUUGCGGCUCAACCGUAAAAUUGCAGUUGAUACUGGGUGUCUUGAGUACAGUAGAGGCAGGCGGAAUUCGUGGUGUAGCGGUGAAAUGCUUAGAUAUCACGAAGAACUCCGAUUGCGAAGGCAGCCUGCUGGACUGUAACUGACGCUGAUGCUCGAAAGUGUGGGUAUCAAACAGGAUUAGAUACCCUGGUAGUCCACACAGUAAACGAGGAAUACUCGCUGUUUGCGAUAUACAGUAAGCGGCCAAGCGAAAGCGUUAAGUAUUCCACCUGGGGAGUACGCCGGCAACGGUGAAACUUAAAGGAAUUGACGGGG
This 393-nucleotide ribosomal RNA is filed under the name uncultured bacterium. Its description in RNAcentral is "partial 16S ribosomal RNA". It matches the Rfam family "Bacterial small subunit ribosomal RNA", at positions 523 to 918 of the family's 1533-position model. The record is from RNAcentral.